GGGCGUGUGGCGCAGAGGUUAGCGUAUCCGGUUCGCAACUGGAGGGUCGCGGGUUCGAACCCCGCCUCGUCCA
Molecule: non-coding RNA, 73 nt
Organism: Xylariaceae sp. FL1272
Lineage: Eukaryota; Fungi; Ascomycota; Sordariomycetes; Xylariales; Xylariaceae
Source: the annotation of a GenBank genome assembly